AUGCACGGACUGCAUAAACACCCUUACCUCACACAGAUCUAUGAAGUGAGGGCAAAGUGGGCGAAACCAUACUUCAAGGGUAAUUUUUGCGCAAAAAUGACAAGCACACCAUGCAGCGAGAGUGCCAACCAUAUGCUCAAGGAAUACCCGGCAAGUUGCCCCAUGCAUUUAUUUGUACGGAAAUACAUGAGGCUUCUUUUUGAUCGGCAAGCAAGCGAGAACUAUGAAGAACGGCGUACAAAGACAGUAAGUACAUUUAUGUAUGCAUAA
This 270-nucleotide ribosomal RNA is filed under the name Triticum aestivum (bread wheat). Its description in RNAcentral is "partial small subunit ribosomal RNA". The record is from RNAcentral. Lineage: Eukaryota; Viridiplantae; Streptophyta; Magnoliopsida; Poales; Poaceae.